Molecule: long non-coding RNA, 379 nt
Filed under: Sus scrofa (pig)
Lineage: Eukaryota; Metazoa; Chordata; Mammalia; Artiodactyla; Suidae
Description: lncRNA (ENSSSCG00070009691.1)
Source: RNAcentral
CCACAGCUGUGUGCACAGAGCCCAGAACAGUAAAUUGUUCAACACUCAAGGCUCUUGGCUGUUUAACUUCUGUUAGGCAGCAGAGGCCAGGAAACAAGUGGAGAACCAGAAGAGGAAGGAAAGCCCCAGGAGCUUCCUAGCAUACACGUUCAACCUUGGGAAUAUGGACAACUGAGUGUUGUAAUGAGGAGCCACAGAGCCGAUGACUCUCUUAAGGAUACAUCCAGAGAAGCUGCGUGACCGGAAAGUGAGGAUCUGCCUUCAAGGAUUCUGAGGCCGCCCUCCUCCCAUCUAGAGCUGACUUCCAGGAGCUGGGACUUCCCCUGCCAUUGCUGAUGCUCCAGGACACCAGAGCCAGCCCAUCUGGAGCGAACCCUCC